This 443-nucleotide ribosomal RNA is filed under the name uncultured bacterium. RNAcentral describes it as "partial 16S ribosomal RNA". It matches the Rfam family "Bacterial small subunit ribosomal RNA", at positions 338 to 795 of the family's 1533-position model. The record is from RNAcentral.
CCUACGGGAGGCAGCAGUGGGGGAUAUUGGACAAUGGGGGGAACCCUGAUCCAGCGACGCCGCGUGAGUGAAGAAGUAUUUCGGUAUGUAAAGCUCUGUCAGCAGGGAAGAAAGAAAUGACGGUACCUGACCAAGAAGCCCAGGCUCACUAGGUGCACGCAGCCGCGGUAAUACGUAGGGGGCAAGCGUUAUCCGGAUUUACUGGGUGUAAAGGGAGCGUAGACGGCAGGGCAAGGCUGGAGUGAAAGGCAGGGGCCCAACCCCUGGACUGCUCUGGAAACUGUCCGGCUGGAGUGCAGGAGAGGUAAGUGGAAUUCCUAGUGUAGCGGUGAAAUGCGUAGAUAUUAGGAGGAACACCAGUGGCGAAGGCGGCUUACUGGACUGUAACUGACGUUGAGGCUCGAAAGCGUGGGGAGCAAACAGGAUUAGAUACCCGAGUAGUC